This is a non-coding RNA of Pelobates cultripes (western spadefoot toad), 191 nucleotides long. The record is from the annotation of a GenBank genome assembly. NCBI's taxonomy places the organism in Eukaryota, Metazoa, Chordata, Amphibia, Anura, Pelobatidae.
GACAGAGUGAGGGAGGGGGUGACACAGUGACAGAGUGAGGGAGGGGGUGACUAGUGACAGAGUGAGGGAGGUGGUAACUGUCACUAGUCACUAGUCACCACCUCCCUCACUCUGUCCCUAGUCACCCCUCCCUCUGUCACUAGUCACCCCCUUCCUCACUCUGUAACUAGUCACCCCUUCCUCACUCUGUC